RNAcentral lists this ribosomal RNA (505 nucleotides) under uncultured bacterium. Its description in RNAcentral is "partial 16S ribosomal RNA". It matches the Rfam family "Bacterial small subunit ribosomal RNA", at positions 28 to 507 of the family's 1533-position model. The record is from RNAcentral.
GACGAACGCUGGCGGCGUGCCUAAUACAUGCCAGUCGAACGCACAGUUUAUACCGUAGCUUGCUACACCAUAGACUGUGAGUUGCGAACGGGUGAGUAACGCGUAGGUAACCUGCCUGGUAGCGGGGGAUAACUAUUGGAAACGAUAGCUAAUACCGCAUAAUAUUGAUUAUUGCAUGAUAAUUGAUUGAAAGAUGCUAUUGCAUCACUACCAGAUGGACCUGCGUUGUAUUAGCUAGUAGGUGAGGUAACGGCUCACCUAGGCGACGAUACAUAGCCGACCUGAGAGGGUGAUCGGCCACACUGGGACUGAGACACGGCCCAGACUCCUACGGGAGGCAGCAGUAGGGAAUCUUCGGCAAUGGACGAAAGUCUGACCGAGCAACGCCGCGUGAGUGAAGAAGGUUUUCGGAUCGUAAAGCUCUGUUGUAAGAGAAGAACGGGUGUGAGAGUGGAAAGUUCACACUGUGACGGUAUCUUACCAGAAAGGGACGGCUAACUACGUG